GCCUGGUGACGGGCUCAUGCCAAGGUCAUGUGGUGGCUUCCGGGUGGAAUUUAAGUCUCUUGACUCCCAGCCUAGUGCUCCUGCUAGCAUGCCACACUCGGGUGUUGUUUGUCAGUGCGUAUCCUCUUCGGAGGAAAUACGUUUUGAGGUUGGUAAAAUGAAUUUUGUUGAAAAAUAGCAUCUUAACGUAGUUUUUCAUAGUUAUCUGGAGAACUUCAAGGCCACUGUGACUUUUCCAUGAAUUAUUUCACGUACAUCUUCCUGCACCUAUCAACAAAAAGACCGUGAGAAACCCACGGUUCCCCAUUUGUAAAAUAAGGGAAUUAAACUAGGCGAAUCUAGACUUUCUGGGUCAGUAUUUUGGCUUCUCCAGAAUCCGCUUGACUUUGAAGUAUCAAACCUAGAUGUAUUGGACAUAACAUAAUAGCCUUAAGUGCCCUACGUUAUAGUGAAAAGUAAAUAGGUGAUUUAUUAGAUUUUAAAACGUAUUUUAAUUACAUAGAUAAUGAAGAAUAUAUUUUCCUUAGUUAAAAAAAAAAAAAAAACAGACAAAGACUGAAGUCCACUCUGACACUCCUGCCCCAUUCCACCAGGAGGGACAUUCCCUCCUGUCCCACCCCAGAGGCUGUUAUUGAUUGAGGAUAUAUAGAGGCCUUUUAAACAUACAUUUAUAGGCCAGGCGCAGUGGCUCAUGCCUGUAAUCUUAGUACUCUGGGAGGCUGAGGCGUGUGGAUCACCUGAGGUCAGGAGUUCGAGACCAGCCUGGCCAACAGGGUGAAACCCUGUCUGUACUAAAAAUACAAAAAUUUGAGCGUGGUGGUGCGUGCCUGUAAUCCCAGCUACCUGGGAGGCUGGAACCCAGGAGGUGGAGGCUUCAGGAAGCCAAGAUGGUGCCACUGCACUGCAGCUUGGGUGACAGAGUGAGACUGUCUCAAAAAAAAAAAAACAUUUAUAGCAAAUAUAUAUAUAUUUAUUUCCCUAAAAUUUCUAUAACAUUAUUAAUUUUUUUUCAAGACAGGGUCUCACUCUUCACCCAGGCUGGAGUGCAGUGGCAUGAUCUCGGCUCACCGCAACCUCCACCUCCGGGGUUCAAAGUAUUCUCCUGCCUCGGCCUCCUGAGUAGCUGGGAUUACAGGUGCCACCACCCAUGGCUGAUUUUUGUAUUUUUUAGUAGAGACAGGGUUUCACCAUGUUGGCCAGGCUGAUCUCGAACUCCUGACCUCAAGUGAUCUGCCCAUCUGGGCUUCCCGAAGUGCUGGGAUUACAGGCGUGAGCCACUUCACCUCGGUUAACAUUAUUUUAAAUGUUGCUUUAUUGAACAUAAUUUGUUUCCCAAACUUAUGUUUUAAUACAAUCUGUUUUGCAUCUUGUUGUUUCACUCAACAGGCUGUCUUAGAGCCUUCUUUCUUUUUGGGGGGCUGUUUGAAGGUUUGCUCCUCAUUUCCCAUCUCCCUCCCAAACUCCCCCGGGUACAUCUGAAACACAACCUCCUCCCACUUUUUGAAAUAUCUCCCUUUUGCUACCUGUUUAUUCUCCAAAGCCCUCUCUGCCCCUCUCCUUUGGUGGGAAUCGGUCACUCCCUCCAUGAUCCCCUCAACCUAUGCUUGUAUCUGUUGUGGCUUGGGUUUCACUUACUGUCUUUGUUAUCACAUGGCCUCUGCCCUUUGUUAGAUUUAUUAGUUUCCACAUCUGUCUCAUCUACCAGACUAUCUCUAGAAAGACAGAGACCUCCUUUAUGCCUAUUGGUCUGCCCUGCACAUAGCAGGUGUUCAGUAAAAGCUGGUUGACCUGCCUGAGGUGGGGCAUGUGAGCUGGUUUAAGGCAAGUGCUGCAUGAAGGUGAGGCUAGAGAGAAGGCAGAGUCACUGCAGACCUGCAUGUGGCCCGGAUCUCUGUGCAGGGGGAGCUGCUCCCUCAGAGCCCACCCACCCCCCGCCACUGUCCCCAUCCCCGACACACUCUUUUCAUUAGGGAGAAUCCAGGCUGUGUCUUCAUUUGUACAGCACGGUCUGUGGCUGAAAUGAAAUCUGAAAAACAGCUUCCCACAAUGCUUCUACCCUUGUUAAAAAUAAACCAACUCUAUCUACAAGGGUUUGUUUUUUUAAAAAAUAAAGAAAAUAUCCACAUCCCUUCCCGGCCCGCCUCGGAACUGAAAUCCGAUGCAAAGACUUAAUCUUUAACUGAAAGGAAGGGUGAAGCAUAAGCAAAUCAUGGAAACGCUCCUUUCUAAUCGUCCUAACAAAGUCCAUCCCCCAGCAGGUGCCCGCUCAGGUGUCUGUUAUUCGGGGUCGAUGAGCAGGAUUGGAGGCUGGGGGCAGGAGUGCUAGCUCCGAUAUUAGCAUAAUAUAAAAACUACACAGCACUACGUUGUUCUGCAUAAAACAGUUGCUUUCAUGACAUUUAUUUUAUAUGUCAGGUAACAAUUAAUUUUUAGACUAACAAAUAAAUAUAAAUAGGGAAUAAGGAAAAGAUUAUGAGACAACGUCCAUAGCUCAUACUUCAUGUGUCAGAUAAUGGUAAGUGUUUAGACUUACAAAUCUAAAUAAGGAUUAAGGGAAAUUAUUACAGAAAAAUUUCCAUAGUGGUUCACUCCUUGGAUCCUGAAGCAAGUUACUAAGGAAGAGACUGAUUCAAAGGACACAUAUUAAUCUAUGGGUUUUUUGGCCAGGUGUGGGUGGCUCACACCUGUAAUCCCAGCACUUUGGGAGGCCUCUGGCAGAUCACUUGAGGUCAGGAGUUUGAGGCCAGCCUGGUGAAACCCUGUCUUUACUAAAAUACAAAAAUUAGCUGUGCGUAGUGGUGGGUGCCUGUAAUCCCAGCUACUCGAGAGGCUGAGGCAGGAGAAUCGCUUGAACUCGGGAGGUGGAGGUUGCAGUGAGUCAAGAUGGUGCCACUGCACUC
RNAcentral lists this long non-coding RNA (2900 nucleotides) under Homo sapiens (human). RNAcentral's name for it is "non-protein coding lnc-HLCS-3:1". Lineage: Eukaryota; Metazoa; Chordata; Mammalia; Primates; Hominidae. The record is from RNAcentral.